AAGAGAGCUUUGGUAGCCCAUUAUUUGGCGUAGAUGAAGCAGGCAAUGACAGGGAUAAGACAUAUACUUGUCACAGCUGUUGCUCUAGCGUGGACAAGCUGUUGUCACUCAGAAAGAAGGCAGAAGAAGAAAAGAUGUCUCAUUCUAAUGAAGGUGAAUCAGGUCUUGAUGAUUAAUCACAAGAUAUCACUGGAGGCAUGUGCACACACACACACACUAGUCUCACUGGGCCCAGACUAGUCUCGUAGACCCCAGCCUACAGUCCACCCCAAUGACUGUCAGCUGAGGAAUGGCCUGGCCAGCGAGACUAUACACACAGUCACACACACACACACUGGAGUCUGGAGCAGCGGAGUAGGCACAAAUUUACAUGUGCUUUGGGAGUUGCUAUAAUAAUUUAUACUAGUACAUGUAGUUGCUAAUGUCGUAAUAUAAUGAGAAUGAUUCUGACAGUAGUACCAGUGAAAGUGCUAGUCACACUCACCAGGAGUUUGAGUUACCUAAAGAACCUUUUCAAUUACGACAAGAGAUUGCUAGUCAUUCACUUGAAUUACCUGAAUUUGAUAUUGGCAGUAGUCACAGUGGUGGUAUAUCUCAUGCCUCCAGUGGUCGUCACUCCUCACAACACACUCUCAACUUCCCCAAACAAUUCAUUCCAGGCUGGACUCCACCUACCUGGGACUUCUCCCCUCAAGUAGCUGAAGUAUUGAAGCAUUAUGCUGGGAAGGGUGAUGUUCAGAUGAGUGUUACUAUUAUUCUUGUGUUUGGUGAGAGGGUCAGUAAACUGAUACCUGAAGUAACAUUACUUCAAUGGUUUCAUUCAUAUAUUGAUUUAUUGACACAGUAUCAGUUAUUAAAUGAAGCUGUUUAUAUUACCAAGAACUGUCCUCUUA
RNAcentral lists this long non-coding RNA (893 nucleotides) under Amphimedon queenslandica. Its description in RNAcentral is "uncharacterized LOC109582976, transcript variant X1". Lineage: Eukaryota; Metazoa; Porifera; Demospongiae; Haplosclerida; Niphatidae. The record is from RNAcentral.